This 1548-nucleotide ribosomal RNA is filed under the name Staphylococcus sp. RNAcentral describes it as "bacterial SSU rRNA". It matches the Rfam family "Bacterial small subunit ribosomal RNA". RNAcentral also lists the same sequence under 1 other name. Lineage: Bacteria; Bacillati; Bacillota; Bacilli; Caryophanales; Staphylococcaceae. The record is from RNAcentral.
UAUGGAGAGUUUGAUCCUGGCUCAGGAUGAACGCUGGCGGCGUGCCUAAUACAUGCAAGUCGAGCGAACAGACAAGGAGCUUGCUCCUUUGACGUUAGCGGCGGACGGGUGAGUAACACGUGGGUAACCUACCUAUAAGACUGGGAUAACUUCGGGAAACCGGAGCUAAUACCGGAUAAUAUUUCGAACCGCAUGGUUCGAUAGUGAAAGAUGGUUUUGCUAUCACUUAUAGAUGGACCCGCGCCGUAUUAGCUAGUUGGUAAGGUAACGGCUUACCAAGGCGACGAUACGUAGCCGACCUGAGAGGGUGAUCGGCCACACUGGAACUGAGACACGGUCCAGACUCCUACGGGAGGCAGCAGUAGGGAAUCUUCCGCAAUGGGCGAAAGCCUGACGGAGCAACGCCGCGUGAGUGAUGAAGGUCUUCGGAUCGUAAAACUCUGUUAUUAGGGAAGAACAUACGUGUAAGUAACUGUGCACGUCUUGACGGUACCUAAUCAGAAAGCCACGGCUAACUACGUGCCAGCAGCCGCGGUAAUACGUAGGUGGCAAGCGUUAUCCGGAAUUAUUGGGCGUAAAGCGCGCGUAGGCGGUUUUUUAAGUCUGAUGUGAAAGCCCACGGCUCAACCGUGGAGGGUCAUUGGAAACUGGAAAACUUGAGUGCAGAAGAGGAAAGUGGAAUUCCAUGUGUAGCGGUGAAAUGCGCAGAGAUAUGGAGGAACACCAGUGGCGAAGGCGACUUUCUGGUCUGUAACUGACGCUGAUGUGCGAAAGCGUGGGGAUCAAACAGGAUUAGAUACCCUGGUAGUCCACGCCGUAAACGAUGAGUGCUAAGUGUUAGGGGGUUUCCGCCCCUUAGUGCUGCAGCUAACGCAUUAAGCACUCCGCCUGGGGAGUACGACCGCAAGGUUGAAACUCAAAGGAAUUGACGGGGACCCGCACAAGCGGUGGAGCAUGUGGUUUAAUUCGAAGCAACGCGAAGAACCUUACCAAAUCUUGACAUCCUUUGACAACUCUAGAGAUAGAGCUUUCCCCUUCGGGGGACAAAGUGACAGGUGGUGCAUGGUUGUCGUCAGCUCGUGUCGUGAGAUGUUGGGUUAAGUCCCGCAACGAGCGCAACCCUUAAGCUUAGUUGCCAUCAUUAAGUUGGGCACUCUAAGUUGACUGCCGGUGACAAACCGGAGGAAGGUGGGGAUGACGUCAAAUCAUCAUGCCCCUUAUGAUUUGGGCUACACACGUGCUACAAUGGACAAUACAAAGGGCAGCGAAACCGCGAGGUCAAGCAAAUCCCAUAAAGUUGUUCUCAGUUCGGAUUGUAGUCUGCAACUCGACUACAUGAAGCUGGAAUCGCUAGUAAUCGUAGAUCAGCAUGCUACGGUGAAUACGUUCCCGGGUCUUGUACACACCGCCCGUCACACCACGAGAGUUUGUAACACCCGAAGCCGGUGGAGUAACCAUUUGGAGCUAGCCGUCGAAGGUGGGACAAAUGAUUGGGGUGAAGUCGUAACAAGGUAGCCGUAUCGGAAGGUGCGGCUGGAUCACCUCCUU